This 253-nucleotide ribosomal RNA is filed under the name uncultured bacterium. Its description in RNAcentral is "partial 16S ribosomal RNA". It matches the Rfam family "Bacterial small subunit ribosomal RNA", at positions 524 to 776 of the family's 1533-position model. The record is from RNAcentral.
UACGUAGGUGGCAAGCGUUGUCCGGAAUUAUUGGGCGUAAAGCGCGCGCAGGUGGUUCCUUAAGUCUGAUGUGAAAGCCCACGGCUCAACCGUGGAGGGUCAUUGGAAACUGGGGAACUUGAGUGCAGAAGAGGAAAGUGGAAUUCCAAGUGUAGCGGUGAAAUGCGCAGAUAUCAGGAAGAACACCCGUGGCGAAGGCGGCUCUCUGGGACGGUACUGACGCUGAGACGCGAAAGCGUGGGGAGCGAACAGG